CUCGUAGGCGGCCAACUAAGUCAGACGUGAAAUCCCUCAGCUUAACUGGGGAACUGCGUCUGAUACUGGAUGGCUUGGAUUCGGGAGAGGAAUGCGGAAUUCCAGGUGUAGCGGUGAAAUGCGUAGAUAUCUGGAGGAACACCGGUGGCGAAGGCGGCAUUCUGGACCGAUAUUGACGCUGAGGAGCGAAAGCCAGGGGAGCAAAC
RNAcentral lists this ribosomal RNA (206 nucleotides) under uncultured bacterium. Its description in RNAcentral is "partial 16S ribosomal RNA". It matches the Rfam family "Bacterial small subunit ribosomal RNA", at positions 568 to 773 of the family's 1533-position model. The record is from RNAcentral.